GACAGAGGUUGAAGGUUUCCUUUUGGGGUAGAGGUUGAAGGUUCUCCUUUUGGGACAGUGGUUGAAGGUCUUUUGGGGUAGAGAUUGAAAGUUUCCUUUUGGGGUAGAGGUUGGACAGAGGUUGAAGGUCUCCUUUUGGGGUAGAGGUUGAAGGUCUUGUUUUGGGGUAGGUAGAGGUUGAAGUUCCCCUUUUGGGGUAGAGGUUGAAGACUCUUUCAACUUGGAGGUUGGAGAAUUCCUUUUGGGACAGAAGUAGAAGUUCUCCUUUUGGGGUAGAGCUUGAAGACGUCUACGUUGAGCUGGUUGGAAGGAAAGAAGCUCCCCAAGAGCAGUUUUGGAGCAAAAUAUUACCCAAGAUCAUCUCCAGUAGACUUAAACUGAAGGAAUUUUUGCUCUGGUGCAACGUGUGGUCCCAUUCCCAAUGGUCACACGUAUGGUCGUGCCACAGCCCAACGCAUUUUGUUGAGUGACAUCAAGAGGCAAGUUGGGGUUGGGUUUUUUUGGGUUUUUUUGGACUGAUUUUUGCCAUUUUGCACCAAUUCAGGUGAACGGUCUCUUCACCCGCCUCCCAGCCCCGGUGUCUGAAGCCGUUUCCCUGGAUGUGAUGGAGGGGAACAUCACCAUCUCUCACAGCUCGGGGUUGGAGGUGAUCUUCAGUCCCAGUGGGGAGGUGACAUUGGCCGUGAAGGCCACUCUGGUCAACCAUCUCUGUGCCCCCUGUGGCAAUUUCAAUGGGGAUGCCAAGGAUGACCUGAGGUUGCCCAGUGGCCGCGUGGCUGAGAGCAUCGCUGAGGUCGUCGAUGCCUGGAAAGCCAAGGAUUUUGCAGGAUGCGAUUGAGACACAAAAGCAAAGGAGGUUAUUCUGGUAAGUGAAUUUUCUUUGCUGUCGCAUCCCACGCUGAAAAAUAACACUGCUUCAGUCCCGUGGUUGGAUGAGGAUUUGUGUAAUUCUUCUUAACGAGUUCAUCAGGAUAAUUGGGGUUUUCAGCUGCUUUGUCCCUGUGAGAUGGGAAGGGUGAAAGAGGAGGAAACGGAGUGAUUUGGACGAAGAGCCAUUUCACUGGGAAAAAGGAAGGAAAAGCUUGCCAAACAUUGGGAGAUAUUGUCAAAUAUCAGGUGAUUUUGCCAAAUAUCAGGGGAUUUUUAACAAUAGAUAGAUUUGGAUAGAAUAAACCCCAUAAAACACGACA
Molecule: long non-coding RNA, 1190 nt
Filed under: Chrysolophus pictus (golden pheasant)
Lineage: Eukaryota; Metazoa; Chordata; Aves; Galliformes; Phasianidae
Description: lncRNA (ENSCPIG00010012518.1)
Source: RNAcentral